This 94-nucleotide ribosomal RNA is filed under the name Streptomyces aidingensis. Lineage: Bacteria; Bacillati; Actinomycetota; Actinomycetes; Kitasatosporales; Streptomycetaceae. The record is from RNAcentral.
UACGCCCGGUUACUUUCCGAACCCGGAAGCUAAGCCUUGCUGCGCCGAUGGUACUGCAUGGGGGACCGUGUGGGAGAGUAGGUCGCCGCCGAAC